RNAcentral lists this ribosomal RNA (497 nucleotides) under uncultured bacterium. Its description in RNAcentral is "partial 16S ribosomal RNA". It matches the Rfam family "Bacterial small subunit ribosomal RNA", at positions 28 to 507 of the family's 1533-position model. The record is from RNAcentral.
GAUGGACGCUGGCGGCGUGCCUAAUACAUGCAAGUCGAGCGAACAGAUGAGGAGCUUGCUCCUCUGACGUUAGCGGCGGACGGGUGAGUAACACGUGGAUAACCUACCUAUAAGACUGGGAUAACUUCGGGAAACCGGAGCUAAUACCGGAUAAUAUAUUGAACCGCAUGGUUCAAUAGUGAAAGACGGUUUUGCUGUCACUUAUAGAUGGAUCCGCGCCGCAUUAGCUAGUUGGUAAGGUAACGGCUUACCAAGGCAACGAUGCGUAGCCGACCUGAGAGGGUGAUCGGCCACACUGGAACUGAGACACGGUCCAGACUCCUACGGGAGGCAGCAGUAGGGAAUCUUCCGCAAAGGGCGAAAGCCUGACGGAGCAACGCCGCGUGAGUGAUGAAGGUCUUCGGAUCGUAAAACUCUGUUAUUAGGGAAGAACAAAUGUGUAAGUAACUAUGCACGUCUUGACGGUACCUAAUCAGAAAGCCACGGCUAACUACGUG